GGUGAGGGAAGCUGAAGUACUAUACGAUCAGCAUCGCGCACUCCGUGCCAGCAGUCGCGGUAAUACGUAGGGUGCUAGCAUUAUCGGGAUUAUUGGGUUGAAGGGUCUGUGGGCGGAUCUGUAUGUCAGUGGUGAAAUCUCACAGCUCAACUGUGAAACGGCCAUUGAUACUGCAGGUCGUGAGUGUUGUUGACGUAGCUGGAAUAUGUAGUGUAGCGGUGAAGUGCAUAGAUAUUACUGAGAACACCAACUUGCGACGGCAGGCUACUAAGCAACUACUGACGUGAUGGAGAGAGCGUGGGGAGCGAACUGGCUUAGAUACCCUGGUAGUACACGCAGUAAACGAUGCUAACUCGUUUUUGUGUCUUCGGAAUCAGAGACUCAGCGAAAGUGAUCAGUUAGCCACGUGGGGAGUACGAACGCAAGUUUGAAACUCAAGGGAAUUGCCCGGGCCCCGCACCAGCGGUGGAUUUUGUGGUUUAGUUCGAUGAUACGCCAGGAACCUUACCAAGGCUGAAAUGGGAAUUGACAGGUUUAGACAUAGACUAUCUUUCAGACAUUUUCCGAGGUGCCGCAUGGUUGUUGUCAGCUCGUGCCGUGAGGUGUUAGGUUAACUCAUGCAAAGCGCGCACCCCCUCUCCCUAGUGUCCAUCAUUGAAUUGGGGACAGUAGUCAGACGGCAUACGCAAGGAAAGAGGGGGGGGGGGCAGAUGUCAAAUCCCCACGGCCCUUAGGCCUCGGGCCACACACAUAAUACAAUAGCCAGUACAGAGGGCAGCUACAAAGCGAUGUGAUGCAAAUCUCGAAAGCCGGUCUCAGUUCCGAUUGGAGUCUGCAACUCGACUCUAUGAAGCCGGAAUCGAUUGUAAUCGCGCAUCAGCCAGGGCGCGGUGAAUACGUUCCCGGGCCCCGUACACACCCCCCGUCAAGCCAGGGAUUUUAGGGGUACCUCAAGUCUGAGACCCGUAACAGCACAGGUAGCAGUAGAGUCUUCACGCCC
RNAcentral lists this ribosomal RNA (1000 nucleotides) under Chryseobacterium indologenes. Its description in RNAcentral is "bacterial SSU rRNA". It matches the Rfam family "Bacterial small subunit ribosomal RNA", at positions 458 to 1458 of the family's 1533-position model. The record is from RNAcentral. Lineage: Bacteria; Pseudomonadati; Bacteroidota; Flavobacteriia; Flavobacteriales; Weeksellaceae.